CAACCGUUACUGAAGAUUCCAGGACGAGGUUUUGUAUGUUUUCUUCGGAAGAUGAGCUACUAAAAUGUACGCAUUCACUUGGGCGUGCGGUUUAAUCAAAAGAAAGCCACGGAGACGUUUUGCGUGAAGCUCCCCGAAUUCGUUUUGUGAGUCUAUGGGAGCUGCCUUAGGACAACCAAAAUUCACCGCCGGACACUGCAUGCUGCCAUCGUCAGAAAAGCACAUGCAGUGCGUUCACGCAAGCUAAAAACAACGAAAAACUCCGAAUCAAGAUUCGGUCCAAAAACACAGUCGAGACGUCCGGCCAGCCUAAUAAUAAUACGCCUGUCACCAUUCUCCGACUCAGAGUCUGUUGCUUGAAUACGUGCAGCGCGCACAUAGACGGCCUGCACUCACCAAAGGGACCGUAGCCGGGAAAAAAACUCGCGUUGAGCGUCAACUGCUUCUGCAGUCAGGGGGUGGUGUGAGCAGUCGAUGCAGAAAAGGGAAAGGAAAAACAAACAAGUCAAACAAAAAAAAAUAAAGAGCUAACAGCAACGCCGAUUUCGGACGGCCUCUUUGCUUGAAUAGAAGUCGCAAUAAUGCGUGGUAGCUCUUAGGAAGGUCAUCACUAUCAUUGCUACCUUUCACGAUCAGCGACCUGGUGACACUCUACCGGCCUGGUUUGCUCUCUCAAAGCGCUGCAUACUUCAGAGAAGCACAUGAGAGAAAAUCACAUUCGAUUUAUCGGCACAAGAUACAAGAACCCUUCACAUCCUCAGCGCAGUCUCUCGGCAUUUUCUUCGGCGGAAUUUUUGCCAAAAAGAAGGAGUCUUCCGAGUGAAUACGGUGUACAUAUAUGCUUCUCCAAGUCGUCGCUUCUUACACUUGUCCCAAGACGAAGCUAAACUGGCGAUCUGUAAAGUAGGAGCAAGCAUGUCAUCGUAUCAGUUUCACUACACUUUACAUUGAACCAUGGAAGUCUUCAUCUGAACACCAAAAAAUCGGGACUUCAAAACAGUCGAUGAAACCCUGCCUGAAUGACCAAAAGAAACAGAAAACCAGUGAAACAAUAAGCAUACGAUACACUGAUCUUCGUCGCACUCCAUCUUCGUAGCCCCGCAAAUGAUUCUUUUUGGUUUAGCACGACUAGCGAACUUUCAUGUCGAAUGACCGCAUUACGCGAAUUCAUCUGUCAAAACCCACUACCCGGAGCUGUACGAUUGUGAUAUCGCAGAGCGGCCGAAGCAAGGUUAGGCAGGUAUAAAAAAAAAACUAAAAGUCGAGUGUCCUAUAGCUUCAACAGAAGAAACUCUUUGCCACCACUCGCCCCCCUUUUCCACCCUCAAAGCUUUGGGAUGCCAAUGUUAUCGGCUUGUGUGUCACUGCCUGCAUAAAAGCGAUGCUUCUGCUUAUCGAGCAUACUUGUUACUACAAUCCACAGCGAAAACGCUGCAGAUGACACACACAAGAGGAGAAAAAAGGGAUAACAGUGUCCUGGAAAAGCAAAAAAAGGUAAUAUAUAGAAGGGAGUAAAUGGCUUACUUGACAGUGGGCAAAGCUCAUUCAACAAGGAAAAGACUAAAGGCUGCAUUGAUGCAGCAUUUUAACAAAAAGUGCUUUGCUCUGCGGUAAGGGCACCUCGUGUUCUCUAGUCUUUGAGACGGAAACAGAUACGAAGUUCUGAGGAUUUCUCGAAGUAUGAAACAAAGCGCAGAUGUAGAGAUAUACCAAGCAGCGGAGGAGGGGCUAUUUCGCCGAUAAGAUAAUGCACUGCAAGAACGCCAUGGAUGCUCUGCACAGCUUGUUACUGUCUCCUCAGUAAAGAAACGCAAAUCGACAUGUACCCGAGAAAUGCGAAAGGAGAGAUGGAUAGCAAGAGGCAAGAGAGAGAAAGCUUGGUUCAACAAGUGACCGAGAAAACAUUAAAGCCAGGUGAUUCUUGGCGCCGUAGAAUAUUCUGAUUCCUCCGCGUCUUGAAGAGCCUGUGCCCACUUUCGUUAUGCAGAAAAAAAAUGACAAGAUUAACCAGCGAUCCGUGUCACCGUCAAGACGCUGGAAAAGGUGCAAAAGACAGAAAGACGCAGGAGAACAGUCGGCAAAGAUGAAAAGGCCAAACCAGAAGGUGGAACAAGGCUUUCUUAUCGGCAGCGAGUUGCUGCAUUCGAGCCACUGGAGACAAACAUAUCAUGAUUCAAGCCUGGCACUGAAACGCUAGAAGCAAACAAAGGUAGUGUGAUACGAGCUCUACUCUUUCAAUGCACUAAGCACAUCAUUGAAAGCUAGGUACAAGGAACAAAGAAAGUAGAACAGUACUCCUAAUACUUGGCAAAUUGAAUACAACGCAAAUAAGCAGUUCAUGCUUGCUUUCCCGUUGUAUGCCCAAUACACGACGGUGAACUCUGGGUCGACAAUGAGCAAGAAUAAAUGUUCUUUUCAUCAGACCUUGAACAAACAGGUAAACGAAAGUCUCAUUACAGCGGCAAAGCAGUCCGCAUUUUUAGAGGUGGGCAGAAUGCUUCAAGGCAGCCAAAACGAAAAAAAAUUAUAAAGAUGCAAAAGACAGAAUCCAGCAAAACAUAGAGUGUACGAACAACAGUUGAUUAAGGUAUUUCAGCCAGGCACUUCACUGGGACGCGCGGCGCGCGGGAGCAGGCACUCUUUCGUGUGCCUUACACGCUGCACUCUUCUUUCGCCACACCAGCAAGGGUCCAGACGAAAUCGCCCUUGCAACAGCUAUAGUUUGUCAGCAGAGCACAUCUGCAGAUAGAGAACCUUGCUUGGCUUUUAGCGAACGAUAAAUGGAGUACAAGAUGUCAAAAAAAAAGAAAAAUAGGGUAAUCAGCUUAAAGCACCAAAGCUGCUUCAAAAAGGGAGAAAUGAUAGCAGUACCCGGAGAGCAUCACUUCUCAGUGCGGCCCACCGAAUGGUUUCAAGCACCUGCUAGUCACUGACUGCGGGAAGUAGCGCUUAGCAUGCCGCUCAACAAUUUUCGAUGUCGUUGAGAAGUGAGAUUCAAUUUAACUAACAUCCGGCCCUCCAUCAGUUCCUUGCCGUGCAGCGUCAACACCACUGAUUCAUCUCGCCCUACCCUCGGUUUGCGAAAAGAAACAACAAGAACACAGAAUGGCCUUCGACAAGUCAGAUACCUUGGGCUUUCCGGGAGUCGCUCGAUACAAAACAAUUUUCCAGGGACAAAAGAACCUCGAGUUGAAAAAAAAAGAGCAGUAGUGUCUUAACACCAUUCACGGCAUCCACUCUUGAUGACCGUCGAUUUCCAAAAACUGAUGUAGUGGAACUCCCGCUCUGCAUGAUUGAAACAUGGACGUGGUUCACACAAAAACUCCACACUCAAACACCGAGCAGCCCGCUCGCUUGCCCUUCAUGGCGUGCCAAGAGUGUAAGUUAUCUGUUUACGAUAUAGACUAGGGACGCCAGAGGAUAAGAGAAGGGGGGGGGUGCGAAGAAGCACUGAGCGACUCUCUUUCACGCAGACAGAGUAUUACACGUUGUGCUGAAGGUUGAGAAAGGGGGGGGGGCACUGAUUCCCUCUCCAAGUUUGGUGCACCUGUAGAGACACGCUGACCGGAAACUGUGGUAAACGGCUGUUCAGAGGUGAAAACGCAAACCUCUACAGGGUUUUCUUGACGCUGAAUUGUAAUUGUUUUGCGAACUUUUCUUUUUGCACCAAAGGGAAAGGCUCAGAAAAACACGUAGUGAUUCUGAAGUUGUGUCCCAGUCCUGGUCUUGUUUUCUGCGAAAAGCAUACUGGUGACUGGGCAGUUUUUUUUUCUGUGAUCAAAAAAAAACAUACGGUGCUUUCUUCCUCUUGCAGCGGGAAGCAAAAAGUAAAUUUUGAGAGCAGGCAUUCACAAAACUUCACUAAAAGCUUAGUUGAAGAAUAUACUAACCAUCACUACGUCUAUGCAACUGUCGGCCGCACUGCGUAUCGCGAGUGAGUGGAUGAUAGUAAAAUGAGCAUCUCUCUUUUUCAAAUGUUCUCUAGCAAUUUUGAAAGCUCCACCGAGAGAUCUCCUGCCAACACUUUGCAAACCCUAUACUCUUUUGGCUCCCUCAGGGAAACGGGGUUGACGGAUGGGUGCUAGCAUAUAGCAGCUCAUUGUGUUAAGUGUUGCAUUCUGCACAAGCGCACCGCAAUUGCUGGCAAGCCUGCUUUUGUUUUCACUGGCUCCUUCGCCCUGGAUGCUUAACGAAUGACAUGAGCACGCGAGGUAGGGUGGUGCGUUCCACUUACGGCAAGACCCCCUUGCUCUGUGUUCUUCUGCGGGGACAUUUAACGGAAGCCCAAAUCCAAUCUGUCUCUUCAUGUUAGAACUCUGUACAGUUUUUUUUUUUUUUCACUACUGGCUAAGAAAGUAGAGAGCGAGACCGACAGCGUUGCGCCUGCAGGGUUUAUUGUAUGAGUGUCAGCUGAAUAAUGAGCUUGCACCUCGGCGCUGCUUAUCGGAAAGCGCGAAACCACAGUCAUCUGAGGCUUAGAGAGAUCGUUCUAGCAUCGAGAUGGCGAAAUGACGAAGUGUCCAGGAGAGCAAAGGCGACCUAUCACAGUUGUGAACUCAGCGGAAAGUCAAGCUCAUCUAUGAUGCUCCAUUUUGAUUUUGUUUUCUUCAAGAAAGGAGGACAAUCCUAACUUCUCCGUUCACCUUUUCCCCCCUUUCGUGUUUUUUUUUUGCGUUGAAUGGGAGCACAUAAAGCGGUUCGAAAAAGACCUUGAGAACGAAGCUCGAGCCAGCUGCACUGGAGACUAAGUGUGCACAGAUCUUGGUUGAGUUAAUACUCAGACUCCAAUGAUUUAUUGUCUCCAUUACUCAUGAGUUUUGCUGUGGUGGAAGCCUCCCAUGAAUGGGAGAAAAUCGCCCAUUUUAGUUUGAGUCGGUAACUAGCAAAGCGACUGGUUCAGACACGGUGCCCCUUUCUCUAUUUCAGCGCUACAGGAUAAGCGGUUGGCGCAAAUGGUCACCAUUGUCAAACUCAUUUGUAGACACGAGUAAUGUUUUUCCUAUUUCUCGGCAGCAUAAUGUGCUUGACCGUCUUUUGCGUGAUGUAAAGAAUUCCGUGGCGGCUCAUUGUGGGCGCAAAAAAAAAAGUAACGGCUUGCAGCAAAUGUGAAAAAUACACUUGUAUCUACACUCUAAGCGUUUGGACUGCGACCUGUUUCUGUGCUUUCAGUUUUUUUUUCUUGUCAGGUGAAUAAUAAUCGCAUUUCUCGGUUCAUUUUCAAGGCUUUUCGUGUUCCGAAAAAGGGGAUGCAGUGAGCUUUAUUCACCGACAGUGGAGACGUUGAAGGAUAUGUGAAACUUGUUUUUCAGUUGUACACAGCUGAACUGCUGGUUGAGGACAUGCAAACAUUUUUGUUUACGCAUAUUUUCCUUUUCUUUUCCACUGACGGCGUGCGUGUGCUCGCGACUCUAGAAGCACGACGAACCACGCUUUUUUUUCGCGCUUUUAAUAUAUGAGUCUUAACAACCAACGAAAACGCGAGACGCACAAGCGUUCAGGUCACCUGCCUUUUCGACUUCGAAUCUGUUUCUCAGUUCCUGAUCACACGUUAAUGGCCUACUUCUCCACGUCAGCGCAGAGACCUGUGCGACUGGUAGAGAACAAAGCAGUUUUUUUUUUGCUUCUUUUGCUUACGAAAUUGAUUAUACACUGGGGCUUCUCCUGGAGGAAUUUUUGAAACUAUCGCGCUGUUGCAUUUUAUAAAAAAUAUUGCUUCGUGUGUGAAAGGGGCAGCAAAAAGCUACAUUUACCCUUUUUCGAGUGGUUUCAAGUCACUUUCAUAAUAGGACAUUCUGAAUUUCGUUACAGCAUGGGAGUGUGAGGAUGUGUCGGUGGUUUAAUGUCGGGGACGAGGCCGGGUGUAACCUUUGCUUCUAAAUGCCGGAUCUCUGCGCCAACUAAUCGAAGAAGGCACGGGCUUCUUGAGAACCCAGUUGGCGUCUCCAUCUAAAUAUGGCCAUUCAAUGAAAAAGCCAAAAAAGACCUUUCCAUCCUUUAUAUAGUGUCUCAGCUUGCAUACAAAUGGGGCUGUGUGCUGAGUUUACGGAUUACAUAAGUUCUGAUAGUAUUUCAUGCGAUGCUCUUGCUUUCAAUGUUUACAUGUUCCAGCGACGCUGAAAACAAUCUUUUCCCCAGUCUGAGGGGUCUCUCUUACAAUUUUAUGGUUGGCUGACUCAUCUUACAGCUUCUUUUUCUUUGUACCCUUUUUGUCGGGAAAAAAUGAUAAAUUUCGGCUGCAGCAUCUCAGCGCAGUCUCGGUUUUUGUACUACACAGGGGCAGUAGGUGGCAUCUCUGCAGUACUCCACGUUGCGCAUGCUUACGAAAGAUAGUCUUUGACCCUAUAAACACAUUUUCUUUUGCUUCCAGCGCCCGACUAUUGGCUACUGCAUUGUUCACAUGUGAUGCUCGUGCCAUUUCUACCGAGUUUUAUGUUUUAAUUGUCGAGGCGGAGGCACCGACGAGUACAUGUAUGUAUAUAUAUAUAUAUAUACUGUCGCGUUCUAGAGAAAUAAGCAAGCGAAAAUGUCAUUGUAUAACCUUCAUGGCUUUUAAUCCCUGCGCUCCGCGUAUGUUAUCACAAGGAUUGCAAAGCCCCCUUUUUCGACUGUGAGCUGAUCCGCCAAAAAAAAAUUCAAG
Molecule: unclassified non-coding RNA, 6637 nt
Filed under: Leishmania donovani
Lineage: Eukaryota; Euglenozoa; Kinetoplastea; Trypanosomatida; Trypanosomatidae
Description: gene:unknown
Source: RNAcentral